Molecule: ribosomal RNA, 2925 nt
Filed under: Escherichia coli
Lineage: Bacteria; Pseudomonadati; Pseudomonadota; Gammaproteobacteria; Enterobacterales; Enterobacteriaceae
Description: bacterial LSU rRNA
Rfam family: Bacterial large subunit ribosomal RNA
Source: RNAcentral
GGGUUGUGAGGUUAAGCGACUAAGCGUACACGGUGGAUGCCCUGGCAGUCAGAGGCGAUGAAGGACGUGCUAAUCUGCGAUAAGCGUCGGUAAGGUGAUAUGAACCGUUAUAACCGGCGAUUUCCGAAUGGGGAAACCCAGUGUGAUUCGUCACACUAUCAUUAACUGAAUCCAUAGGUUAAUGAGGCGAACCGGGGGAACUGAAACAUCUAAGUACCCCGAGGAAAAGAAAUCAACCGAGAUUCCCCCAGUAGCGGCGAGCGAACGGGGAGCAGCCCAGAGCCUGAAUCAGUGUGUGUGUUAGUGGAAGCGUCUGGAAAGGCGCGCGAUACAGGGUGACAGCCCCGUACACAAAAAUGCACAUGCUGUGAGCUCGAUGAGUAGGGCGGGACACGUGGUAUCCUGUCUGAAUAUGGGGGGACCAUCCUCCAAGGCUAAAUACUCCUGACUGACCGAUAGUGAACCAGUACCGUGAGGGAAAGGCGAAAAGAACCCCGGCGAGGGGAGUGAAAAAGAACCUGAAACCGUGUACGUACAAGCAGUGGGAGCACGCUUAGGCGUGUGACUGCGUACCUUUUGUAUAAUGGGUCAGCGACUUAUAUUCUGUAGCAAGGUUAACCGAAUAGGGGAGCCGAAGGGAAACCGAGUCUUAACUGGGCGUUAAGUUGCAGGGUAUAGACCCGAAACCCGGUGAUCUAGCCAUGGGCAGGUUGAAGGUUGGGUAACACUAACUGGAGGACCGAACCGACUAAUGUUGAAAAAUUAGCGGAUGACUUGUGGCUGGGGGUGAAAGGCCAAUCAAACCGGGAGAUAGCUGGUUCUCCCCGAAAGCUAUUUAGGUAGCGCCUCGUGAAUUCAUCUCCGGGGGUAGAGCACUGUUUCGGCAAGGGGGUCAUCCCGACUUACCAACCCGAUGCAAACUGCGAAUACCGGAGAAUGUUAUCACGGGAGACACACGGCGGGUGCUAACGUCCGUCGUGAAGAGGGAAACAACCCAGACCGCCAGCUAAGGUCCCAAAGUCAUGGUUAAGUGGGAAACGAUGUGGGAAGGCCCAGACAGCCAGGAUGUUGGCUUAGAAGCAGCCAUCAUUUAAAGAAAGCGUAAUAGCUCACUGGUCGAGUCGGCCUGCGCGGAAGAUGUAACGGGGCUAAACCAUGCACCGAAGCUGCGGCAGCGACGCUGAUGCGUUGUUGGGUAGGGGAGCGUUCUGUAAGCCUGUGAAGGUGUGCUGUGAGGCAUGCUGGAGGUAUCAGAAGUGCGAAUGCUGACAUAAGUAACGAUAAAGCGGGUGAAAAGCCCGCUCGCCGGAAGACCAAGGGUUCCUGUCCAACGUUAAUCGGGGCAGGGUGAGUCGACCCCUAAGGCGAGGCCGAAAGGCGUAGUCGAUGGGAAACAGGUUAAUAUUCCUGUACUUGGUGUUACUGCGAAGGGGGGACGGAGAAGGCUAUGUUGGCCGGGCGACGGUUGUCCCGGUUUAAGCGUGUAGGCUGGUUUUCCAGGCAAAUCCGGAAAAUCAAGGCUGAGGCGUGAUGACGAGGCACUACGGUGCUGAAGCAACAAAUGCCCUGCUUCCAGGAAAAGCCUCUAAGCAUCAGGUAACAUCAAAUCGUACCCCAAACCGACACAGGUGGUCAGGUAGAGAAUACCAAGGCGCUUGAGAGAACUCGGGUGAAGGAACUAGGCAAAAUGGUGCCGUAACUUCGGGAGAAGGCACGCUGAUAUGUAGGUGAAGUCCCUCGCGGAUGGAGCUGAAAUCAGUCGAAGAUACCAGCUGGCUGCAACUGUUUAUUAAAAACACAGCACUGUGCAAACACGAAAGUGGACGUAUACGGUGUGACGCCUGCCCGGUGCCGGAAGGUUAAUUGAUGGGGUCAGCGCAAGCGAAGCUCUUGAUCGAAGCCCCGGUAAACGGCGGCCGUAACUAUAACGGUCCUAAGGUAGCGAAAUUCCUUGUCGGGUAAGUUCCGACCUGCACGAAUGGCGUAAUGAUGGCCAGGCUGUCUCCACCCGAGACUCAGUGAAAUUGAACUCGCUGUGAAGAUGCAGUGUACCCGCGGCAAGACGGAAAGACCCCGUGAACCUUUACUAUAGCUUGACACUGAACAUUGAGCCUUGAUGUGUAGGAUAGGUGGGAGGCUUUGAAGUGUGGACGCCAGUCUGCAUGGAGCCGGCCUUGAAAUACCACCCUUUAAUGUUUGAUGUUCUAACGUUGACCCGUAAUCCGGGUUGCGGACAGUGUCUGGUGGGUAGUUUGACUGGGGCGGUCUCCUCCUAAAGAGUAACGGAGGAGCACGAAGGUUGGCUAAUCCUGGUCGGACAUCAGGAGGUUAGUGCAAUGGCAUAAGCCAGCUUGACUGCGAGCGUGACGGCGCGAGCAGGUGCGAAAGCAGGUCAUAGUGAUCCGGUGGUUCUGAAUGGAAGGGCCAUCGCUCAACGGAUAAAAGGUACUCCGGGGAUAACAGGCUGAUACCGCCCAAGAGUUCAUAUCGACGGCGGUGUUUGGCACCUCGAUGUCGGCUCAUCACAUCCUGGGGCUGAAGUAGGUCCCAAGGGUAUGGCUGUUCGCCAUUUAAAGUGGUACGCGAGCUGGGUUUAGAACGUCGUGAGACAGUUCGGUCCCUAUCUGCCGUGGGCGCUGGAGAACUGAGGGGGGCUGCUCCUAGUACGAGAGGACCGGAGUGGACGCAUCACUGGUGUUCGGGUUGUCAUGCCAAUGGCACUGCCCGGUAGCUAAAUGCGGAAGAGAUAAGUGCUGAAAGCAUCUAAGCACGAAACUUGCCCCGAGAUGAGUUCUCCCUGACUCCUUGAGAGUCCUGAAGGAACGUUGAAGACGACGACGUUGAUAGGCCGGGUGUGUAAGCGCAGCGAUGCGUUGAGCUAACCGGUACUAAUGAACCGUGAGGCUUAACCUUACAACGCCGAAG